UUGGGUACAUUGCAGUCGAGCGAACAGAUAAGGAGCUUGCUCCUUUGACGUUAGCGGCGGACGGGUGAGUAACACGUGGAUAACCUACCUAUAAGACUGGGAUAACUUCGGGAAACCGGAGCUAAUACCGGAUAACAUAUUGAACCGCAUGGUUCAAUAGUGAAAGACGGCCUUGCUGUCACUUAUAGAUGGAUCCGCGCCGUAUUAGCUAGUUGGUAAGGUAACGGCUUACCAAGGCAACGAUACGUAGCCGACCUGAGAGGGUGAUCGGCCACACUGGAACUGAGACACGGUCCAGACUCCUACGGGAGGCAGCAGUAGGGAAUCUUCCGCAAUGGGCGAAAGCCUGACGGAGCAACGCCGCGUGAGUGAUGAAGGUCUUCGGAUCGUAAAACUCUGUUAUCAGGGAAGAACAAACGUGUAAGUAACUGUGCACAUCUUGACGGUACCUGAUCAGAAAGCCACGGCUAACUACGUGCCAGCAGCCGCGGUAAUACGUAGGUGGCAAGCGUUAUCCGGAAUUAUUGGGCGUAAAGCGCGCGUAGGCGGUUUUUUAAGUCUGAUGUGAAAGCCCACGGCUCAACCGUGGAGGGUCAGUGGAAACUGGAAAACUUGAGUGCAGAAGAGGAAAGUGGAAUUCCAUGUGUAGCGGUGAAAUGCGCAGAGAUAUGGAGGAACACCAGUGGCGAAGGCGACUUUCUGGUCUGUAACUGACGCUGAUGUGCGAAAGCGUGGGGAUCAAACAGGACUAGAUACCCUGGUAGUCCACGCCGUAAACGAUGAGUGCUAAGUGUUAGGGGGUUUC
Molecule: ribosomal RNA, 805 nt
Filed under: Staphylococcus pasteuri
Lineage: Bacteria; Bacillati; Bacillota; Bacilli; Caryophanales; Staphylococcaceae
Description: bacterial SSU rRNA
Rfam family: Bacterial small subunit ribosomal RNA
Source: RNAcentral